UACGUAGGGUGCAAGCGUUGUCCGGAAUUACUGGGCGUAAAGAGCUCGUAGGUGGUUUGUCGCGUCGUCUGUGAAAUCCCGGGGCUUAACUUCGGGCGUACAGGCGAUACGGGCAUAACUUGAGUGCUGUAGGGGAGACUGGAAUUCCUGGUGUAGCGGUGAAAUGCGCAGAUAUCAGGAGGAACACCGAUGGCGAAGGCAGGUCUCUGGGCAGUUACUGACGCUGAGGAGCGAAAGCAUGGGUAGCGAACAGGAUUAGAUA
RNAcentral lists this ribosomal RNA (262 nucleotides) under uncultured prokaryote. RNAcentral's name for it is "partial 16S ribosomal RNA". It matches the Rfam family "Bacterial small subunit ribosomal RNA", at positions 524 to 784 of the family's 1533-position model. The record is from RNAcentral.